AUGAUUAGGUCUGCUUACAAAUCAAUAUAUUUCUUCGAAGAUGUCUCCAGAUGUUCUAUAGGUAAGUUUUCUCUCCUACAUUCCAUUCUGUGGAAAACAACAAGCACCUGCCUUGGUUUUCUCGGGCUUCUUCGAGUUUUGAUGCAAACCAAACACAACUAGCUGCAACACUAUUCACAUUAAAACGGGCAAAUGAUUUCUUGCAGUAAAAGCGAUGAAGUAAUACUUGACUAGUGGCCAUUACAGCUUGAGGUAAUCUGAGCAAAAUCCCACUUUCUUGGAUGAGAUCACAACCAUAGAUUCGAAGUGUUGUUUCAGUAACUUCAUCAAUUCCAUCUUUCCAAGAAGGCGAGUUU
Molecule: long non-coding RNA, 356 nt
Filed under: Solanum tuberosum (potato)
Lineage: Eukaryota; Viridiplantae; Streptophyta; Magnoliopsida; Solanales; Solanaceae
Description: long non-coding RNA (STUB_LNC008702)
Source: RNAcentral